Molecule: ribosomal RNA, 250 nt
Filed under: uncultured bacterium
Lineage: Bacteria
Description: partial 16S ribosomal RNA
Rfam family: Bacterial small subunit ribosomal RNA
Source: RNAcentral
UCGAGAAUCAUUCGCAAUGGGCGAAAGCCUGACGGUGCGACGCCGCGUGGAGGAUGAAGGCCCUAGGGUCGUAAACUCCUGUCAUCAGGGAGUAAGGGCUCAUAUAGUAACUGCUAUGGGUCUUGAUAGUACCUGAAGAGGAAGGGACGGCAAACUUCGUGCCAGCAGCCGCGGUAAUACGAAGGUCCCAAGCGUUGUUCGGAUUUACUGGGCGUAAAGAGUCUGUAGGCGGUGGGGUAAGUCAGAUGUG